Molecule: long non-coding RNA, 347 nt
Filed under: Linum usitatissimum (flax)
Lineage: Eukaryota; Viridiplantae; Streptophyta; Magnoliopsida; Malpighiales; Linaceae
Description: long non-coding RNA (LUSI_LNC007237)
Source: RNAcentral
UACCUGUUUAUGUGUAUUAGACUUUUUUGUACUCGUUUAUGAAUUUCUCUCUUUCCUCAAUUCUUCUCUUUGAAUCUUCAUAUUCUUCUCUUUGAAUCUUCAUUACGUUAAAGUUAGUUACACAUACUGAACCUCUGAGAUGGUGAGAGUGAAUGAAUUGACUUACAAAAAAAAGAAUAACGAGAGGAGGAGGAGAGAAGAUAAGGUAAGAAAAUGACCGUAAAGCACCUAAUAUUAAAAGCAUUGUGCUUUUAGUGGGAGCAAAUACUCUAUUUUAUUUGUUUUUGACCCGGACUUCUUUUGAGUUGUUAGAUUUUUUUUGAAUUUUUGAUUGAUGUACGUUAUUC